This 641-nucleotide ribosomal RNA is filed under the name uncultured euryarchaeote. Its description in RNAcentral is "bacterial SSU rRNA". It matches the Rfam family "Archaeal small subunit ribosomal RNA", at positions 169 to 809 of the family's 1478-position model. Lineage: Archaea; Methanobacteriati; Methanobacteriota. The record is from RNAcentral.
ACACGGAAGCAGUGAGUACGAAAUGCUCCGGUGCCAUAUGAUGUGACUGCGGCCGAUUAGGUAGACGGUGGGGUAACGGCCCACCGUGCCGAUAAUCGGUACGGGUGGUGAGAGCCAGAGCCCGGAGAUGGAAUCUGAGACAACAUUCCAGGCCCUAUGGGGCGCAGCAGGCGCGAAAACUUUACAGUGCGCGAUAGCGCGAUAAGGGGACCCCGAGUGCGAGGGCAUAACGUCCUCGCUUUUGUAUAUCGUAAGAAGAUACACGAAUAAGGGCUGGGCAAGACCGGUGCCAUCCGCCGCGGUAAUACCGGCAGCUCCAGUGAUGAUCACAAUUAUUGUGCCUAACGCGUCCGUAGCCGGUCGAACAUGUCCUUCGGUAAAUCCACUCGCUCAACUAGUGGGCUCUCGAYGGAAACUGUUCUACUUGGGGACGGUAGAUCUGAUGGGUACGUCUAAGGUAAGAGUGACAUCCUGUAAUCCUAUACGGACCGCCGGUGGCGAAAGCGCCUCACAAGAACGGACCCGACGGUCAGGGACGAAAGCUACGGUCUCGAACCGGAUUAAAUACCCGGGUACUCCUAACCGUAAACGAUGCUCGCUAGGUGUUGCGAAUGCUACCUGCUUUUGCUGUGCCCUACGGU